This 2891-nucleotide small RNA is filed under the name Pan troglodytes (chimpanzee). Its description in RNAcentral is "retained intron". The record is from RNAcentral. Lineage: Eukaryota; Metazoa; Chordata; Mammalia; Primates; Hominidae.
UCUGCCUGCUGUCGGGGGCGGGCUGGCCAGGCCGAGGCCGGAGCAGGCAGGCAUCCCCCGGAGUUGUCUCUUUUCAUGCCAGUGCCAACAGGAGGCUGUUUGGACACACUGAUUACUCACUCACCAGCCUCCCUCUUUUGUCCACCAGCCCAGCCUGACUCCUGGAGAUUGUGAAUAGCUCCAUCCAGCCUGAGAAACAAGCCGGGUGGCUGAGCCAGGCUGUGCACGGAGCGCCUGACGGGCCCAACAGACCCAUGCUGCAUCCAGAGACCUCCCCUGGCCGGGGGCAUCUCCUGGCUGUGCUCCUGGCCCUCCUUGGCACCACCUGGGCAGAGGUGUGGCCACCCCAGCUGCAGGAGCAGGCUCCGAUGGCCGGAGCCCUGAACAGGAAGGAGAGUUUCUUGCUCCUCUCCCUGCACAACCGCCUGCGCAGCUGGGUCCAGCCCCCUGCGGCUGACAUGCGGAGGCUGGACUGGAGUGACAGCCUGGCCCAACUGGCUCAAGCCAGGGCAGCCCUCUGUGGAACCCCAACCCCGAGCCUGGCGUCCGGCCUGUGGCGCACCCUGCAAGUGGGCUGGAACAUGCAGCUGCUGCCCGCGGGCUUGGCGUCCUUUGUCGAAGUGGUCAGCCUAUGGUUUGCAGAGGGGCAGCGGUACAGCCACGCGGCAGGAGAGUGUGCUCGCAACGCCACCUGCACCCACUACACGCAGCUCGUGUGGGCCACCUCAAGCCAGCUGGGCUGUGGGCGGCACCUGUGCUCUGCAGGCCAGACAGCGAUAGAAGCCUUUGUCUGUGCCUACUCCCCCGGAGGCAACUGGGAGGUCAACGGGAAGACAAUCGUCCCCUAUAAGAAGGGUGCCUGGUGUUCGCUCUGCACAGCCAGUGUCUCAGGCUGCUUCAAAGCCUGGGACCAUGCAGGGGGGCUCUGUGAGGUCCCCAGGAAUCCUUGUCGCAUGAGCUGCCAGAACCAUGGACGUCUCAACAUCAGCACCUGCCACUGCCACUGUCCCCCUGGCUACACGGGCAGAUACUGCCAAGUGAGGUGCAGCCUGCAGUGUGUGCACGGCCGGUUCCGGGAGGAGGAGUGCUCGUGCGUCUGUGACAUCGGCUACGGGGGAGCCCAGUGUGCCACCAAGGUGCAUUUUCCCUUCCACACCUGUGACCUGAGGAUCGACGGAGACUGCUUCAUGGUGUCUUCAGAGGCAGACACCUAUUACAGAGCCAGGAUGAAAUGUCAGGUGACAGUCACCCCUAGCUUCCUAGGAACCCCCUAGGGCCUCAAGUGAGGGUCUUAAUGCAGGGACCCUGGAGUGAGAGGUGGUUCCUUCAAUGUCUCUGACCUCACCCUAUUCAUCAGCAUAAAGCAGGGGUCGUGGACUCCAAGGCUCAUAGAAGCCAGGAGGUCACUUAUUGACCUGAGGGGCCAAGGUCAAGACCAACCUCUAUCUAAGGGAGUUCCAGCCACUGGUUGCCUUGCAGGAAUGCAAGGUCAGGGUGGCCAGAGCUCGGGGUUGUUCAAGAAAACCAGCAACCCACACUUCCACUGGCAACUCUCAAAACCACAAUUAAUUACUGGGGUUGGCAAUCAACUCGGAUAUAUUUAAGACACUGUGCAGGUGAAACAGAACCUCCUCAGGGGCCAGACCUUGCCUGGGCUUGUGGGCUGCUGGUCGCGCCCCUGUGCACAGGGAGAAGAGAAGCAGACGGGAGCAGAAGGGACCCCUGCUCUUGGAAGGGAGGCUGUGCGGGCUGGGGGUGAUGAUAGCCCGGCCAGCACACACACAUGGCAUCUUAGGCCAUGGGCAGGGGUGGCAGGAAGGGGCAGCCUGGGCUCUGGGAGCCUUGCCUGUGUGACCCAGGGUGGGGUUACAGAGGAAAGGCGGGGUGCUGGCCCAGAUCAAGAGCCAGAAAGUGCAGGACAUCCUUGCCUUCUAUCUGGGCCACCUGGAGACCACCAACGAGGUGAUUGACAGUGACUUCGAGACCAGGAACUUCUGGAUCGGUGAGUGCCCAGCUGAUUGGGGGUAUGGUGAGUAAGGGGUUGUGAUGCCCCACCCUGCUGCAGGAACCCUGGGCCAUGGCGGCUGCCAGCAGAUGGCAAGGGUGUGUUGAGGGCCUGGAGCCCAGAGCGGGGCCAGCUGCUCACCCCCUUUCCCGGGGAGGGCCCAGGUAGGGAGCACAUGGGGGCUGCCAGCGCUGGGAAGAGGGGCCAGAAAGGCAGCUGGCAGCAGACUCCAGGGUCUGAGUGGGCCAACCUUGACUACCCCGGCCCAGGGCUCACCUACAAGACCGCCAAGGACUCCUUCCGCUGGGCCACAGGGGAGCACCAGGCCUUCACCAGUUUUGCCUUUGGGCAGCCUGACAACCACGGGUUUGGCAACUGCGUGGAGCUGCAGGCUUCAGCUGCCUUCAACUGGAACGACCAGCGCUGCAAAACCCGAAACCGUUACAUCUGCCAGUUUGCCCAGGAGCACAUCUCCCUGUGGGGCCUAGGGUCCUGAGGCCUGACCACAUGGCUCCCUCGCCUGCCCUGGGAGCACCGGCUCUGCUUACCUGUCUGCCCACCUUUCUGGAACAAGGUUCCACCUGUCUGGAACAAGGUUAAGACCACAUGCCUCAUGUCCAAAGAGGUCUCAGACCUUGCACAAUGCCAGAAGUUGGGCAGAGAGAGGCAGGGAGGCCAGCGAGGGCCAGGGAGUGAGUGUUAGAAGAAGCUGGGGCCCUUCGCCUGCUUUUGAUUGGGAAGAUGGGCUUCAAUUAGAUGCCGAAGGAGAGGACCCCGCCAGUGGUCCAAAAAGGCUGCUCUCUUCCACCUGGCCCAGACCCUGUGGGGCAGCGGAGCUUCCCUGUGGCAUGAACUCCACAGGGUAUUAAAUUAUGAAUCAGCUGAA